UACAGAGGUUGCAAGCGUUAAUCGGAAUUACUGGGCGUAAAGCGCGCGUAGGUGGCAAGUUAAGUCGGAUGUGAAAGCCCUGGGCUCAACCUAGGAAUUGCAUUCGAUAUUGGUUAGCUCGAGUUUGGUAGAGGAGAGUGGAAUUCCCGGUGUAGCGGUGAAAUGCGUAGAUAUCGGGAGGAACAUCAGUGGCGAAGGCGGGUUUCUGGACCAAAGCUGACACUGAGGCGCGACAGCGUGGGGAUCAAACAGG
Molecule: ribosomal RNA, 253 nt
Filed under: uncultured bacterium
Lineage: Bacteria
Description: partial 16S ribosomal RNA
Rfam family: Bacterial small subunit ribosomal RNA
Source: RNAcentral